This is a long non-coding RNA of Scomber japonicus (chub mackerel), 167 nucleotides long. RefSeq lists it as uncharacterized. The record is from RefSeq and is a predicted model, not a curated record. The transcript is spliced from 4 exons. Lineage: Eukaryota; Metazoa; Chordata; Actinopteri; Scombriformes; Scombridae.
ACGACCAAGAGGUGCCCAUGGACGUGGAUCCGCCCAGCAAUAUCAGCCAGCCAACUCAAUCAGCUGAUAAUAAGCCUGCUGAGGAACCUGUAAACAGUGACAUCCAGCAAACUCAAUCAGCUGAUAUGAAGUCUGCUGAGGCUUCCAAGCUUUCAUCCAAGGAUGAA